Long non-coding RNA from Bufo bufo (common toad), 126 nucleotides. RefSeq lists it as uncharacterized. Lineage: Eukaryota; Metazoa; Chordata; Amphibia; Anura; Bufonidae. The transcript is spliced from 3 exons. The record is from RefSeq and is a predicted model, not a curated record.
UAUUACUGGUGGCUUUUAAAAGACCUUGUGUUGGAUUACUCACACAACACCGACCCCGAGACGCAGAAAACAAUAGGUAUCGAACAAGACGGCAUUUUCAGAAAUAGGAAGCGUUUGACCAUAGAG